UCCACACUAUAGCUAGGUCAAUUUAACAUUCACCCAACCUUACAAAUUGAAAUCUUAAAUAAUAAAAUAUUACUAGUCUCACAAUUCAAAAUAGAUUAACAAAAGAAAUUAUAAUACAUAGAAGUGAGAACUUGGUUCAAAAAGACAAUUCAAAAUGAAUCAGACAAUUCAAAAUGUUAGGAGUCCCUUUGACUUUGAGCACUUCAAAAUAACUAAAAAGUGUAUCUCUUGCUCUAAGUCCCUUGAGCACUUGGUUCUUCAUCCAAGUGUAUCUCUUCUACUUCUACCACAUCUGUGAGUCAUAAUACAAGAAAAGUGAGAAAUCAAUGACUAAAAUGUAAAUGCAAAUUGCAAAUAAAAGUGAAA
Molecule: long non-coding RNA, 366 nt
Filed under: Medicago truncatula (barrel medic)
Lineage: Eukaryota; Viridiplantae; Streptophyta; Magnoliopsida; Fabales; Fabaceae
Description: long non-coding RNA (MTRU_LNC004860)
Source: RNAcentral